This 477-nucleotide ribosomal RNA is filed under the name uncultured bacterium. RNAcentral's name for it is "SSU rRNA". It matches the Rfam family "Bacterial small subunit ribosomal RNA", at positions 26 to 518 of the family's 1533-position model. The record is from RNAcentral.
AGGAUUAACGCUGGCGGCGUGCAUGAAACAUGCAAGUCGAGCGCGGCGCGUGGCUUCGGUCACGCGUCUAGCGGCGCACGGGUGAGUAACACGUGAGCAACCUACCUUCGAGUUCGGGAUAGCCCUGGGAAACCAGGAUUAAUACCGGAUGUGGUCACAACGGGACAUCCCGAUGUGAAAAAAGGCGUAAGCCGCUCGAUGACGGGCUCGCGGCCUAUUAGCUUGUUGGUGGGUAACGGCCUACCAAGGCGACGAUGGGUAGCUGGUCUGAGAGGACGAUCAGCCACACUGGGACUGAGACACGGCCCAGACUCCUACGGGAGGCAGCAGUUAGGAAUUUUCCGCAAUGGGCGAAAGCCUGACGGAGCAACGCCGCGUGUGUGAUGAAGGCCUUCGGGUUGUAAAGCACUGUCGGAGGGGAAGAAUGAAUGACGGUACCCUCCAAGAAAGCCCGGCUAACUACGUGCCAGCAGCCGC